CGCAGGAGAGAGAGCCGAUUACAACUUGGCUCCGCCGAAGGCGCAAACUCCCAUAAACGCUCAGGCUCAUGUACUGCGAC
This 80-nucleotide non-coding RNA is filed under the name uncultured Pseudomonas sp. RNAcentral describes it as "Glycine riboswitch". It matches the Rfam family "Glycine riboswitch aptamer", at positions 9 to 86 of the family's 94-position model. Rfam says of the family: This family represents the bacterial glycine riboswitch. Glycine riboswitches usually consist of two metabolite-binding aptamers domains with similar structures in tandem. The aptamers cooperatively bind glycine to regulate the expression of downstream genes. The record is from RNAcentral. Lineage: Bacteria; Pseudomonadati; Pseudomonadota; Gammaproteobacteria; Pseudomonadales; Pseudomonadaceae.